Long non-coding RNA from Homo sapiens (human), 821 nucleotides. The record is from Ensembl. NCBI's taxonomy places the organism in Eukaryota, Metazoa, Chordata, Mammalia, Primates, Hominidae.
GUUCUGUUUGUUGUCUUGGAACAAUACGGUUUAGAGGUGACUGGCGGGUGAGGAGAACAUAUGCGAGUUCACCAAAGAGAAAAGCUGAAUGAGGCAAUGCCUCUUCCUGACCAUAUCUCUUACUCAGAUAACUAUAGAAUUUAUUGUCCAGUAAAGGGUAUAUUAAAAAAUCAUAUUAAAAGUCAUGCAGUGAAGUUGUCCAGGGAAAUCAAGACUUAACAGUCUCACUCUGACAAUAAUGAACAGGGGGAUUCCCUCAAGAUAGACUAGGACAUGACCCCACACUGGCAGGUAGUAGUACCAGAAAAGAACGCAUGGAAAAUCUUUACCUUAUGCUUGAGGUAGGGACCAGGCUAAAGUGAAAGCCAGACCUAAAAUUCUAUCUAAAAUAAAUCCACAAUCGAAGAAAAUAUGUGGUGUACAGGCAUAGAAUGUCUUUACUGGAUCAUUGAAAUAGUAAGGUAAAUUGAACUUUUUACAUUGUUUUCUUUUCCUCCAGUUAGGGCUUGAGGUUUGUCUCUGGAGAGUGACUGACAAUUGCAGCCCUGCCUUUCUGGGGUUCUGGUCAGGGGGUUGUGGAUGCUUAACAUGUGCCUUUCACAGGACACUUCCUUACCCCAGCAGUGGCCAGGUGUGCAUCCCACGGCCAGGCCUCCCUCUCACAGAACAUCUGUUGAGACUAGGAGAUGCCUGGUGACUGUUGCCUGACCUGUGUCCUGUGUAUUUCUGACAAGAGCCACUCUCAGAGACCCUGGCCAGGAGGAGAGUUAGGUUCCAGUGUAGGUCAGCUCAGACACAUGGAGGCCACAGAACCAAACAUG